CAAUAUAGUAGAGGCGCGGGAUUUAAGAGUAGACAGAAUGAUGCGUGUGGUUGCAUAUGAGUUCUGGUGAAAGGAGAGACCGCCGAAGUUGUGAACCAGCCACGGAGUUCACUGCUGGUUGUGCAGUUAAUAGCUGUAUGACUGUCAUCGAUAUUUAUAUAGGCUAUUUUAUUUAUAGAGAUGGAGAGCUACUUAUAAG
Non-coding RNA from Coprococcus eutactus CAG:665, 199 nucleotides. Lineage: Bacteria; Bacillati; Bacillota; Clostridia; Lachnospirales; Lachnospiraceae. The record is from Rfam.